This 120-nucleotide ribosomal RNA is filed under the name Provitellus chaometra. RNAcentral describes it as "partial 5.8S ribosomal RNA". It matches the Rfam family "5.8S ribosomal RNA", at positions 10 to 129 of the family's 154-position model. From Rfam's summary of the family: 5.8S ribosomal RNA (5.8S rRNA) is a component of the large subunit of the eukaryotic ribosome. It is transcribed by RNA polymerase I as part of the 45S precursor that also contains 18S and 28S rRNA. The record is from RNAcentral. Lineage: Eukaryota; Metazoa; Platyhelminthes; Trematoda; Plagiorchiida; Monorchiidae.
CCGGUGGAUCACGUGGCUAGUGUGUCGAUGAAGAGCGCAGCCAACUGUGUGAAUUAAUGUGAACUGCAUACUGCUUUGAACAUCGACAACUUGAACGCAUAUUGCGGCCACGGGUUAGCC